GGACCCGCACAAGUAGUGGAGCAUGUGGUUUAAUUCGAAGAUACGCGCAGAACCUUACCAACACUUGACAUGUUCGUCGCGACUUUAAGAGAUUAAAGUUUUCGGUUCGGCCGGACGAAACACAGGUGCUGCAUGGCUGUCGUCAGCUCGUGUCGUGAGAUGUUGGGUUAAGUCCCGCAACGAGCGCAACCCUCACUUUUAGUUGCCAUCAUUUAGUUGGGCACUCUGAAAGAACUGCCAGUGAUAAGCUGGAGGAAGGUGGGGAUGACGUCAAGUCCUCAUGGCCCUUACGUGUUGGGCUACACACGUGCUACAAUGAUAUCUACAAAAGGAAGCAAGACGGCGACGUU
This 350-nucleotide ribosomal RNA is filed under the name uncultured bacterium. RNAcentral's name for it is "bacterial SSU rRNA". It matches the Rfam family "Bacterial small subunit ribosomal RNA", at positions 917 to 1264 of the family's 1533-position model. The record is from RNAcentral.